CCUACGGGUGGCAGCAGUGAGGAAUAUUGGUCAAUGGGCGUAAGUCUGAACCAGCCAAGUAGCGUGAGGGAUGACUGCCCUAUGGUUUGUAAACCUCUUUUAUAUGGGAAUAAAGUGUGCCACGUGUCGUGUUUUGUAUGUACCAUAUGAAUAAGGAUCGGCUAACUCCGUGCCAGCAGCCGCGGUAAUACGGAGGAUCCGAGCGUUAUCCGGAUUUAUUGGGUUUAAAGGGUGCGUAGGUGGAUUUUGAAGUCAGUGGUGAAAGUUUGUGGCUCAACCGUAAAAUUGCCGUUGAAACUGGCGGUCUUGAGUACAGUUGAGGCAGGCGGAAUGCGUGGUGUAGCGGUGAAA
Molecule: ribosomal RNA, 351 nt
Filed under: uncultured bacterium
Lineage: Bacteria
Description: partial 16S ribosomal RNA
Rfam family: Bacterial small subunit ribosomal RNA
Source: RNAcentral